GGAGUCAGUGUAUGAGGUGAUAACGUCCAUACGCGAGAGGAAAACAAUCCAGACCAUCAACUAAGGUCCCUAAAUAUAUGUUAAGUGGGAAAGGAUGUGGAGACGCACGAACAGCUAGGAGGUUGGCUUAGAAGCAGCCAUCCUUUAAAGAGUGCGUAAUAGCUCACUAGUCGAGUAUCUCUGCGCCGAAAAUGUACCGGGGCUAAACAUAUUACCGAAGUUAUGGAUUUAUAAUUUAUUAUAAAUGGUAGGGGAGCGUUCUAAGGGCGCUGAAGGUAGAUCGUGAGGACUACUGGAGCGCUUAGAAGUGAGAAUGCCGGUGUGAGUAACGUAAGGUAGGUGAGAAUCCUACCCACUAUUUGACCAAGGUUUCCAGGGUCAAGUUCGUCUUCCCUGGGUUAGUCGGGACCUAAGGCGAGGCUGAAAAGCGUAGUCGAUGGACAACAGGUUUAUAUUCCUGUACUGCUUAUAGGACUGAUGGAGUGACGGAGAAAGCUAGGAAGGGCCAGUUAUUGGAUUCUGGUCUAAGCGUUUAGGUUGAUGCACAGGAAAAUCCGUGAUAUCGAUAAGACUGAAGCGUGAUGGCGACGUGGUCUACGGACCGCUAAGUCUUCUGAAGCUAUGCUUCCAAGAAAAACUUCUAAAGAUAUGUUAUAAGUACCCGUACCUAGAACCAACACAGGUGGUCAAGGAGAGAAUCCUAAGGUGAGCGAGAGAACUAUGGUUAAGGAACUCGGCAAAAUUACCCCGUAACUUCGGAAUAAGGGGAGGUUUCUUCGGAAACCCGCAGUGAAUAGGUCCAGGCAACUGUUUACCAAAAACACAGGUCUCUGCUAAAGCGUAAGCUGAUGUAUAGGGGCUGACGCCUGCCCAGUGCUGGAAGGUUAAGAUGAUUUGUUAGGUGGACGAAAGUCGAUAACACCGAAGCUUUGAUUUGAAGCCCCAGUGAACGGCGGCGAUAACUAUAAUCGUCCAAAGGUAGCGAAAUUCCUUGUCAGGUAAGUUCUGACCCGCACGAAAGGCGUAAUGAUCUGGACGCUGUCUCAACCAUAGACUCGGUGAAAUCUUAAUACCUGUGAAAAUGCAGGUUACCCGCGACAGGACGGAAAGACCCCAUGGAGCUUUACUGUAGCUUGAUAUUGAAGUUAGGUAAUUUAUGUAGAGGAUAGGUGGUAGACUAUGAUGUAUGGACGCCAGUUCAUACGGAGUCGCCCUUGGAAUACCACCCUUAAAUUAUUUGACCUCUAACUUACUCCCGUUAUCCGGGAGGAGGACAGUGUCUGGUGGGCAGUUUGACUGGGGCGGUCGCCUCCCAAAGAGUAACGGAGGCGCUCAAAGGUUCCCUCAGAUUGGUCGGAAAUCAAUCAAAGAGUGUAAUGGUAUAAGGGAGCUUGACUGCGAGACCUACAAGUCGAGCAGGUGCGAAAGCAGGACAUAGUGAUCUGGCGGUAGAAU
This 1455-nucleotide ribosomal RNA is filed under the name human gut metagenome. Its description in RNAcentral is "bacterial LSU rRNA". It matches the Rfam family "Bacterial large subunit ribosomal RNA", at positions 980 to 2432 of the family's 2925-position model. The record is from RNAcentral.